RNAcentral lists this ribosomal RNA (492 nucleotides) under uncultured bacterium. Its description in RNAcentral is "SSU rRNA". It matches the Rfam family "Bacterial small subunit ribosomal RNA", at positions 26 to 518 of the family's 1533-position model. The record is from RNAcentral.
AGGACGGACGCUGGCGGCGUGCUUAACACAUGCAAGUGGAGCGACGAACCGGGGCUUGCCCCGGGGCAGAGCCGCGAACGGGUGAGUAACACGUGGGUUACCUACCCCAAUGACCGGGACAACCCGAGGAAACUCGGGCUAAUACCGGAUGUGGUCUUCGGACGAAAGGAAGCUUCGGCCUCCGCAUUGGGAUGGGCCCGCGGCGCAUUAGCUUGUUGGUGGGGUAACGGCCUACCAAGGCGACGAUGCGUAGCUGGUCUGAGAGGACGAUCAGCCACACUGGGACUGAGACACGGCCCAGACUCCUACGGGAGGCAGCAGUCGAGAAUAAUUCACAAUGGGGGCAACCCUGAUGGUGCAACGCCGCGUGGAGGAUGACGGUCUUCGGAUUGUAAACUCCUGUCAUCGGGGAGUAAGACCUGGCUGUUAAUAGCAGACAGGGUUGAUAGUACCCGAAGAGGAAGGGACGGCUAACUUCGUGCCAGCAGCCGC